AGCAGCCUCGCAUUUUGAUACAUGACUUUUAUCUUUUUUGUUGUUCCUCCUUCCUCCAGUUCUCCCUUUUCCUUCUCAUCAAAGCAGGCAGCUGUUGCCUCAGGGGAGAAAUAGAACAGAAGGGGAGCAAGCACUAGCUCGUAGAAUCUAUCAUCUCCUUUUUAAGGAAGAAAAAAAAAAAGUUCAUUUGCUUUCCUACGAAGUCAAGCCCGGCCACCAGGACGUGCAUCCCUAACCUUGCAGAGGUAACAUAUCUGAGGGGGAAGGGAUGGGAAGGGUAGGGGGGAGUGCUCACACCUGACUCCUCUCUUAGGAGGAGAGAGUAAAGAGUUCAGUAGUCCCCCCGCCCCCCUUAUCCGCGGUUUCGCUCUCCGCGGUUUCAGUUACCCGCGGUCAACCGCGGUCCAGACGCAGAUGACCCUCCUUCUGACUUACCAUCAGAAGGUCGUUCGUAGCCUAAUGUUACUACGGCACAACGCCUAUGUCAUUCACCUCAUUUCAUCUCCUCAUGUGGGCAUUUUAUCACCUCACAUCAUCACAAGAAGCAAAGGGUGAGUACAGGACAAUCAGAUAUUUUGAGAAAGAGAGAGUGUGUGAGAGAGAGACCACAUUCACACAACUCUUAUCACAGUGUAUUGUUAUAAUUGUUCUAUUUUAUUGUUAGAUAUUAUUGUUAAUCUCUUACUGUGCCUAACUUACAAAUUAAGCUUUAUCAUAGGUACGUGUGUAGAGGA
Long non-coding RNA from Leopardus geoffroyi (Geoffroy's cat), 734 nucleotides. RefSeq lists it as uncharacterized. The transcript has 2 exons. The record is from RefSeq and is a predicted model, not a curated record. NCBI's taxonomy places the organism in Eukaryota, Metazoa, Chordata, Mammalia, Carnivora, Felidae.